UACGUAGGCAGCGAGCGUUGUUCGGAGUUACUGGGCGUAAAGAGUGCGUAGGCGGUUUUCUAAGGUUGGUGUGAAAUCUCCCGGCUCAACUGGGAGGGUGCGCCGAAGACUGGAAGGCUUGAGUAUGGGAGAGGUAAGCGGAAUUCCUGGUGUAGCGGUGAAAUGCGUAGAUAUCAGGAGGAACACCUGCGGUGUAGACGGCUUACUGGACCAUAACUGACGCUGAGGCACGAAAGCGUGGGUAGCAAACAGG
This 253-nucleotide ribosomal RNA is filed under the name uncultured bacterium. Its description in RNAcentral is "partial 16S ribosomal RNA". It matches the Rfam family "Bacterial small subunit ribosomal RNA", at positions 524 to 776 of the family's 1533-position model. The record is from RNAcentral.